Oncorhynchus keta (chum salmon) is the source of this 3020-nucleotide long non-coding RNA. RefSeq lists it as uncharacterized. The record is from RefSeq and is a predicted model, not a curated record. NCBI's taxonomy places the organism in Eukaryota, Metazoa, Chordata, Actinopteri, Salmoniformes, Salmonidae. The transcript is spliced from 3 exons.
CCUAGGGAGGAGGGUAGUUGGGGCUAAAUGUUAGUUUGUUUGGCGUUGACGCUAUAUCAUUGGCUAGAACUGAAUGGGCUGAGGUGUAUUACCGGUACCUGAGCAGUAGAAAGAGACAUAUUUAAUAAGGUCAGACCACACUGUGGUCCCAGCUACACAGAGACAUCUUUAAUAAGGUCAGACCACACUGAGGUCCCAGCUACACAGAGACAUCUUUAAUAAGGUCAGACCACACUGAGGUCCCAGCUACACAGAGACAUCUUUAAUAAGGUUAGACCACACUGAGGUCCCAGCUACACAGAGACAUCUUUAAUAAGGUCAGACCACACUGAGGUCCCAGCUACACAGAGACAUCUUUAAUAAGGUCAGACCACACUGAGGUCCCAGCUACACAGAGACAUCUUUAAUAAGGUCAGACCACACUGAGGUCCCAGCUACACAGAGACAUCUUUAAUAAGGUCAGACCACACUGAGGUCCCAGCUACACAGAGACAUCUUUAAUAAGGUUAGACCACACUGAGGUCCCAGCUACACAGAGACAUCUUUAAUAAGGUCAGACCACACUGAGGUCCCAGCUACACAGAGACAUCUUUAAUAAGGUCAGACCACACUGAGGUCCCAGCUACAGAGACAUCUUUAAUAAGGUCAGACCACACUGAGGUCCCAGCUACACAGAGACAUCUUUAAUAAGGUCAGACCACACUGAGGUCCCAGCUACACAGAGACAUCUUUAAUAAGGUCAGACCACACUGAGGUCCCAGCUACACAGAGACAUAUUUAAUAAGGUCAGACUACACUGAGGUCCCAGCUAAACAGAGACAUCUUUAAUAAGGUUAGACCACACUGAGGUCCCAGCUACACAGAGACAUCUUUAAUAAGGUCAGACCACACUGAGGUCCCAGCUACACAGAGACAUCUUUAAUAAGGUCAGACCACACUGAGGUCCCAGCUACAGAGACAUCUUUAAUAAGGUCAGACCACACUGAGGUCCCAGCUACAGAGACAUCUUUAAUAAGGUCAGACCACACUGAGGUCCCAGCUACAGAGACAUCUUUAAUAAGGUCAGACCACACUGUGGUCUCAGAGUAAAGGCACAAAGCUUCACCCAACAGGAUAUAAGCGACAAUAUCAUCAAUAUAGGUGUGACAGUAUUUGAGUGCGUCCAUAAAUGGCACCCUAUUCCCUAUAUAGCAUCCUACGUUUGACUGGCUCCUAUGACUGAGUAGUAUGCCCUUUACUUCUAACUGGGGGAAAAAAGUAGGGCCCUAUAUAGGGAAUGUGUUGAUAUUUAAGACACAAGCCUGUCAUCACAGAACGAACCAACAAACACCCAAAACAUAAGGGUGAGAAUGAUAAACCAGGUAUUCAAACCCACAUACCCAGGCCAUUGAGCGCCUUCAGAGACUGUGUUAGCCCGCUGAGUUAAAGACAAGGCAUUACCCUAGGGUGCUAACGCGAGUCUUCAGAUCUCAGGCAAUGUUAUUCACAGAGACCACAGGCUUACUGGUCAAAGACUCAUGAGACCACAGGCUUACUGGUCAAAGACUCAUGAGACCACAGGCUGACUGGUCAAAGAGUCAUGAGACCACAGGCUUACUGGUCAAAGACUCAUGAGACCACAGGCUUACUGGUCAAAGACUCAUGAGACCACAGGCUUACUGGUCAAAGACUCAUGAGACCACAGACUUACUGGUCAAAGACUCAUGAGACCACAGGCUUACUGGUCAAAGACUCAUGAGACCACAGGCUUACUGGUCAAAGACUCAUGAGACCACAGGCUUACUGGUCAAAGAGUCAUGAGACCACAGGCUUACUGGUCAAAGAGUCAUGAGACCACAGACUUACUGGUCAAAGACUCAUGAGACCACAGACUUACUGGUCAAAGACUCAUGAGACCACAGGCUUACUGGUCAAAGACUCAUGAGACCACAGGCUUACUGGUCAAAGACUCAUGAGACCACAGGCUUACUGGUCAAAGACUCAUGAGACCACAGGCUUACUGGUCAAAGAGUCAUGAGACCACAGACUUACUGGUCAAAGACUCAUGAGACCACAGACUUACUGGUCAAAGACUCAUGAGACCACAGGCUUACUGGUCAAAGACUCAUGAGGGGAUAGAGGGCACAGCAUGGAGUACAUUACUUGGUAGUGAACCACUGGUUUAUCCGAGCCAAAUAACCUCUGUUACACUUGUGCCACCAUAUACAAUAUGUUAAACACUCAUCUUGUAGGGGUUAAAACCCCUGAGAUUAUAAACCACAUUCACAGGUUUGAAAAACUCUGGUAACUUAAAAAUGUUUUUUUAAAUAAAUGGAUUUCUAGAAUUCCUGGUUGGAAUGUUGGAUUUCUUGCUUAUUCCCGCUUGGUUCCGUGAAUCUUCUAACACUGAUUUAUGGAAUAUGUGGGAAAUUUGGCCGAAUUUUGCAGCCCUAGUCAGUCAUUCACAGGUAAGGCCGUCACAUAAACAAACGUAAAUCUGGACUCCCCUCUGAGCAACAUACUCAGCUGUCCGAGUUCAUAACCACUACCCUCUGAGCAACAUACUCAGCUGUCUGAGUUCAUAACCACUACCCUCUAGGCAACAUACUCAGCUGUCUGAGUUCAUAACCACUACCCUCUGAGCAACAUACUCAGCUGUCUGAGUUCAUAACCACUACCCUCUGAGCAACAUACUCAGCUGUCCGAGUUCAUAACCACUACCCUCUGAGCAACAUACUCAGCUGUCUGAGUUCAUAACCACUACCCUCUGAGCAACAUACUCAGCUGUCUGAGUUCAUAACCACUACCCUCUGAGCAACAUACUCAGCUGUCUGAGUUCAUAACCACUACCCUCUGAGCAACAUACUCAGCUGUCUGAGUUCAUAACCACUACCCUCUGAGCAACAUACUCAGCUGUCUGAGUUCAUAACCACUACCCUCUGAGCAACAUACUCAGCUGUCUGAGUUCAUAUCCACUACCCUCUGAGCAACAUACUCAGCUGUCUGAGUUCAUAACCACUACCCUCUGAGCAACAUACUCA